This 480-nucleotide ribosomal RNA is filed under the name Triticum aestivum (bread wheat). Its description in RNAcentral is "partial small subunit ribosomal RNA". Lineage: Eukaryota; Viridiplantae; Streptophyta; Magnoliopsida; Poales; Poaceae. The record is from RNAcentral.
AUGGACGACGAUGAUGUUUGUGACGAAGACGACGGCGAUGGCGAAUAUACGGGCUACCACAGCUCGAUUCGGUGCUCGGGACGGACGAAGUCGAUAGCGGCGGUUCUCCUGGACGUCUUCUCACGAGGCGGGUUGGACGGUGGUUGUGGCUACGAGGACGGCCAUGGAGACCACGAGCUUGGGCGCGUCCAAAUCAACGAUGUUGAGCGAGAGAGCAAGAGGAAUGAAGCUAGGGUUUUUCUACGGGGUUGGAGAUGGUCUUAUCCUCCUCCAGGUGUCCCUGUAGCGCCAGACGUCAUGCAUCCGACGCCCAUGGCGCCAUGGAUUGUUGCGACGGCAUGCCUAUGCCUCCUCUCUGUACAUAGGAAGGAGAUGGCUGGUUGGUGGGCUGGGCUGUGCACUGUAGCAGUGAGGUACAAGUACAGUGCAACAUUUCUAUUUGUUUUUUGUAGUUUAUUUUACCUGUUGUCUUUUAUUUAG